This 478-nucleotide ribosomal RNA is filed under the name uncultured bacterium. Its description in RNAcentral is "partial 16S ribosomal RNA". It matches the Rfam family "Bacterial small subunit ribosomal RNA", at positions 28 to 507 of the family's 1533-position model. The record is from RNAcentral.
GAUGAACGCGGGCGGCGUGCUUAACACAUGCAAGUCGAACGGGAAACCUUUUAUUGCAGCUUCGGCAGAUUUAGCUGGUUUCUAGUGGCGGACGGGUGAGUAACGCGUGGGUAACCUGCCUUAUACAGGGGGAUAACAGUCAGAAAUGGCUGCUAAUACCGCAUAAGCGCACAGAGCUGCAUGGCUCAGUGUGAAAAACUCCGGUGGUAUAAGAUGGACCCGCGUUGGAUUAGCUGGUUGGUGGGGUAACGGCCCACCAAGGCGACGAUCCAUAGCCGGCCCGAGAGGGUGAACGGCCACAUUGGGACUGAGACACGGCCCAGACUCCUACGGGAGGCAGCAGUGGGGAAUAUUGCACAAUGGGGGAAACCCUGAUGCAGCGACGCCGCGUGAAGGAAGAAGUAUCUCGGUAUGUAAACUUCUAUCAGCAGGGAAGAUAAUGACGGUACCUGACUAAGAAGCCCCGGCUAACUACGUG